GAUGAACGCUAGCGGGAGGCUUAACACAUGCAAGUCGAGGGGCAGCACGGGUAGCAAUACCUGGUGGCGACCGGCAGACGGGUGAGUAACGCGUAUGUAACCUACCCUGUACAGGGGGAUAACCCGGAGAAAUUCGGAUUAAUACCCCAUAACGAUAUGAAGAGGCAUCUUUUUAUAUUUAAAGUUUCGACGGUACGGGAUGGGCAUGCGUAACAUUAGCUAGUUGGUAGGGUAACGGCCUACCAAGGCAACGAUGUUUAGGGGUCCUGAGAGGGUGAUCCCCCACACUGGUACUGAGACACGGACCAGACUCCUACGGGGAGGCAG
This 327-nucleotide ribosomal RNA is filed under the name uncultured Bacteroidota bacterium. RNAcentral's name for it is "bacterial SSU rRNA". It matches the Rfam family "Bacterial small subunit ribosomal RNA", at positions 28 to 351 of the family's 1533-position model. The record is from RNAcentral. Lineage: Bacteria; Pseudomonadati; Bacteroidota.